AUGGCAUUAUAGGCAUAAUAAAAAUAUUCUCUGCGAUACAGAGAAAAUUAGCAUGGCCCCUGUGCAAGGAUGACACCCAAAUUUGUGAAGCGUUCCUUAUUUAA
Small nuclear RNA from Suncus etruscus (white-toothed pygmy shrew), 104 nucleotides. The record is from RefSeq and is a predicted model, not a curated record. NCBI's taxonomy places the organism in Eukaryota, Metazoa, Chordata, Mammalia, Eulipotyphla, Soricidae.